AUAAAGUUUUAUGAAAAGAAAAAAAAGUAUCUGUUCUUAUCAGCUUAAUAUCUGAUACGCCUUCCAUCGGAGGGAAUCGAUAUUAAACUGAUUUUUGGAACUGGGUGAGAGAUUUGGAAUAAAUGAAUGAUUAUGGCUUUACGUCACAUCGGCAAUAUUUCAGCCAUAUCGUGGCGAGAACAUGU
Molecule: small nuclear RNA, 185 nt
Organism: Liolophura sinensis
Lineage: Eukaryota; Metazoa; Mollusca; Polyplacophora; Chitonida; Chitonidae
Product: U2 spliceosomal RNA
Exons: 1
Source: RefSeq, a predicted model, not a curated record